Long non-coding RNA from Perca fluviatilis (European perch), 305 nucleotides. RefSeq lists it as uncharacterized. The transcript is spliced from 3 exons. The record is from RefSeq and is a predicted model, not a curated record. Lineage: Eukaryota; Metazoa; Chordata; Actinopteri; Perciformes; Percidae.
CUGACUAGCUAGCUAGCUAGCUACUCCACUCGCAUGUUAUUGGAACAAGAUAGGGUUUUCUGAUUUUUUUUCAGGAAAUAUUGCUAAGAUGCCUGCUUUACCUCUGCUGACGGUGCCAACUCAAAUCCUGGAGCAAAUUCACAUCACAGCUUCAUGUUCUCUCUGUGUGAGGCAGAGUGAGCAGCGGAGAGGAGAGAGCACAUCUGAGUCUUGUGGUAACAGCAGGACCACGUACCACUUGGCCGAGAGAUCGAUGCAUUCAUGCCAAGCCACACAGGAAGGGUGAGCGGCCCGUAGGACGUCCG